CUAGAUUGGUGGGCUAUCAUCCCACGAAACUUUAGUUAACAGCUAAAUACCCUAGGCAACUGGCUUCAAUCUA
RNAcentral lists this transfer RNA (73 nucleotides) under Martes foina (beach marten). RNAcentral's name for it is "tRNA-Asn". The record is from RNAcentral. Lineage: Eukaryota; Metazoa; Chordata; Mammalia; Carnivora; Mustelidae.